GAAAAUAUCAACUUGAGUGGGAAAAGGCAAUCAACAUAUGCCCUUUAUUGUGCAAAACUCGGGUAACAGGUAAACAAGAUUAACAGGGACCGCUAGGAUCAAGAAAUGGAAGAUGCCUCCCUACAUACAUCUGAGAUGAAUCCACAAAGAUAUCAAUCAUUUUGUUACCUGGAGGCCAGGUGAUGAGAUCUGAAAUCAUCUUAUCUAAAUCCAGCACACAGUUUAUACCCACUGUACCUAUCAAAUUAUUCAAAGGUCCCUUCUGAUACAUUGCAAAAAUGGAUACAACUUUUCCCUCCUUUUAGCUUCUUUCCUUGUGUAAUGUGACUUUGAAGCUCUUACUAUUAUAUCAAGAAAUAAAAUCUAUUGUCUCUGGAUUGGUCUUGUGACUGCUUUGGCCAAUGGAAUACAACAACAAAGCUGUUGAUAUACACAUUCCAACUCUAGGCCUCAAGAGCCUUGCCGAAUUCCACCUGCUGUCCUGGGAUCUCCGCCUUCCCCAUAGAACCAAGCGUGGGCUAGUCCCCUGGAGGAUGAGAUCUCACAUAGUCCAUAAUCAAAUGGGUCUC
Molecule: long non-coding RNA, 569 nt
Filed under: Homo sapiens (human)
Lineage: Eukaryota; Metazoa; Chordata; Mammalia; Primates; Hominidae
Description: HSALNT0272285
Source: RNAcentral